This 8309-nucleotide long non-coding RNA is filed under the name Nicotiana benthamiana. Its description in RNAcentral is "long non-coding RNA (NBEN_LNC005376)". The record is from RNAcentral. Lineage: Eukaryota; Viridiplantae; Streptophyta; Magnoliopsida; Solanales; Solanaceae.
AACAGAUUGUGCCGCAGCCAAAAAAAAAAAAAAGGGUGUCAUCUUCUUCAAAAUGGCAAAAAAAAACUAAAACCCGAAGCUUCGUCCAAACGACCACCUCCCUUCGUCGUUGCCUAGUCCUCACGAGCCAGCUCCUGACGACAACCAAACGAACCGCAUCUGAUUCUGCUUCGACAGCCCAGCGAGCAUCAACCCGUCGUCCAGUGCACCAUCGCUGCUCCUGCUUCAUCUGUCCGUCGACCACCUAAUAUCCAUCACAACCAAUCGUAAAACCAGCUCUAGGUAUGCGAAAAACAGUAGCUCAAACCCCGUCGUGCUUCGUCUUCCUCACGUGAAUCAGUCCGGCAACCCUCCAUUAAAACCAGCGACCUUCACUUUGUCUCAAAACAACCCGUCCUUGUCCUUAUCAAAUCUGUUCGAGGUUCGUUGCAGUCGAAUCUGAGUUCGAUGCGUCGUUCGAGUAUUCUGUCCGCAUUUUCUUCUCGAAUUUCAUUGCUGUUCAUUUCGAUUUUUGUCAUCGAACUUCACUCAUAGUUUGUAUUCAGGCAAAGCUAAUACAGGUUCGUGCUAUUCAGGUUCAUCUUUCUAUAUUUUUUUUUACUCUUGUUUGGUGCUGGUUUUACAUUCUAUAUAUAUAUAUAUAUAUUGUGUGUUAGGAUGAGUGACUUUGUUGCUCACAGUUCAUGGGGCCAAAACCGAAGACUAUAGUUUUUGGUAAUAUUGUUUUUUUUUUUGUUUUUUUUAUAUUUGUAUUUACAUUUUGUUGGAAAAGUGUUCAAUUUUAUAUGAAGUUUAUGGGGUGGUUAAGUUGAUUUUUAAGGCUUAUGUUAAUUGCUAUUACGUGAAUGGAUUCUCUGUUGCGUAGUUGAAUUUGUGAAAAAAAUUUUGCUUGUUAAAAUUGUGUUAUUGAAUCUGAAAAUUUUCAAGUGUGUUGUGUAUGGUGUUAAGGAUCAUAUUAAAUCUCUUGGGACACUAUUUGUUCAGAGAUAACAAGUCAUGCAGUUGUCGUGAUUACGGAUACAGUUCCAUAUUGUAGUUAUGAUUUGUAAUUCUCAAAAUUCAGGGGUGCAUUUCAUGUAACCCGAUUAUAACGACUCCGGUUAAUUUCAGUGAAUAAAUUAGUGUUUUUUUUAGAGACAAGUAAAGUAGAGAAUCAUAGUUGCUUCUAGGUUUGCCCUAUCAAAAAACACAUGAGGUGAGCCUCGUCGAUUAACACACAAAUUACGGGGCCCUCGUUAAUUAUAUAUAUUAAAAAUACUUAGACUUCAGGACGGGCCGUUUAGCAAAUUACAUGGCCUUACCCAAAAUAAUUAUACGCUAGUCGUUGUAGGCGCGCAUUUAAUAAUUUUACAUCCCUAAACUCGGGUGUGCAUUUCUUGCAACCCAAAUCCAAAUUCCAAAACAUCGACUCAGGUAUGUUCAUGAUUGCGGGUUCAUUUCAUGCGGCACAAUCCAAAGACAUAGUUCAGACGAUAUUCAAUCUUCUUUAAUAAUUUGAAUAAAAGCGGUUAAAAGUUAAAAUUGGCACAUAAGUUACACAUGCAAUAAAAUCGGUUAAAUAAGCUAAAUACGACAGUUGGGCGACCGUGCUAGAACCACGGAACUCGAGAAUGCCUAACACCUUCUCCCGAGUUAACAGAAUUCCUUAUCCGGAUUUCUGGUGCGCAGAAUGUUAAAUAGAGCCAUUCUUUUCCUUGAUUCGGGAUUAAAAUAGGUAACUUGGGACACCAUAAAUCUCCCAAGUGGCGACUCUGAAUCUUUAACAAAUAAUCCCGUUUCGAUUGUCCUUUAAUUGGAAAAAUUCCCUUGCGCCCUCGCGGGACGGCAAAAAGGAGAUAUGACAACUGUCUACUCACUCUGUGCUAAUACUAUAUGCUAUUUCUUCGUGGCAUAGCUUGGCCUCACAUUACUUGUGCACUUCAUUUAUAUCUAGAGUCCCUUCUGUGAUUGGUUUUCAAACUCGUGAUUGAUUUUCAAAACUUUUCCUUCAUGAAUUCUGAUUUUACUCGCUUGUUAAGGGGUAAUUAAUUCUCUCUCUUUGUUUGGCCUUACCAUAUCCUUUCCAAAAAUAAGUACAUUCCUGUACUUGGACUUAAUCACUUACUAUAUGGUUUUACUGCUUCUUUACAAUCAUUCUGCUUACAAAUUAAUGUUCUUUCCUUAUAUUAAUCCUGUUAGUAUCCAUUUGAGCUGUAAUCCUUUAAGUAAAGGGAAAUACGUUUGUUAAUUGAUUUUGAUUGUGAUUAUUUUCAUGUUUCUAUUAAAACCUUACUUGUUACCCUAUUCUCUACUCAUUUUCUAAAUUAUAACAACAUGUACCUCUUCUCUUUCAAAAACAAGUUCUAAUAGAACAAGUCACUACUUCUUCUCUCAAAUACACUUAGAAUUUCUUAAGCAUUCGAGUUUUCUGAACUCACAAGUUUAAAGUUCUCUUCUCUGAUUGUGGUUUGGCUGAAAGAAAUCCUGCAUUUUCUUUUCUUACUUUUCCUGCAACUGGUAUGUCUCUCUUUGUUUAAUUUCUGCCUCUCCACUACAUGUUUAUUUUUCAGCCUUUCCUUUGCUUGUUUUAUUGUUUCGAUGUUGUAAUUGGUGCAAGUUUACUUACUUCUUUAUCUCUGUGCUAACAUGAAUCCCUACCCCCCCAAUUUCCUUUGUAUCUUGAGUUAUGGUUAUGAAAGCAUGAUAAUACUUGACAUUGUUGCUUAUAUGUAUGACUGGACUCCCUAAGUGCUAAACACUUUUCAAUUCUCAUUCCCCUUCCCAUUUACAUGUAUUCUGAGUUUAAGACUAUGGUCUAGCAGUGUCCUAAUCAUUAUCUAGACCAUAGCUUGACCUUCAACAGGUCUGUGCUCAUAUUUUUUGGCUAAACAGGCUUGGUCAGGGGUGUGCCAGCCUACCUUAUGCCUAGGCAUGACCAUCAUCCUGUCUUGGCACUCCUUAACCCCUCUUUAUUGCACUGGAACUCACUCUUAGAACAUAACUUCUGGGCCCCUCUUGUGAGCCUUGCUUUGGGAUCCAUGAGCUGCCUCUAAACUUGGAUACUUGAAGGAUGGCUCUUCCACAAUGCACUAUAACUCAUUAUAAUUAACAUCUUGGGUGUAAGCACUGCCUGGAGUUCCUGAAACUCUUUGGAUCUCUGAAACACCCUAGAUAAGAGAAGGCUUUGAAAAUAUUUAUCUCGGAAGUGGUUCAAUCUCAUAUUUUUAGACACUAAGUCUGAAUUGGGCUUCUCGUAUGUAGCUGAUGGCUUUCAGAUGUACUUUUAAUUUCAGUUUAUGUUACUGGUUUGUAAUAAUUUGUAUAAACUCAUGGAGAUUUAGUGAAAGAAGGGAGGGGGUUAAUUGUACGCAAAAAGGGUAGAGACCAUGCCUACAGGAUUUAGUUUAUGAUAUGUGCAACUUCACACAUAGAAAGCAUAUCUAUUGGGAUUAACUUCUAAAUUUUCUGCGAUUAUGCUUGUAGAUAUCAUGCUUAUAAGAGUUUACAUUUUUCACAUAAUGGUGCCAUUAGGAAAACUGUAGACGUAACAACAAAGUUGCAUAUAGUUACCAUGUUUGUAAGACUCCUGUUAAAAGUGUUAAAAUCAGUUAACGCAUAGAAAGCAUGACUAUAGUAACUUCGAAUCUAAUCCGUCUCAUUUAUUCAAAAUAGUACCAACCAUUUAAAUUAAUAUUUACUUUGGUAAAACUGGCAGUCUUCUGCGUUUUUCUGAACCUCGUAAGUUAAUAAACCUUUUCUAAACAAAUGGCAUUUUUCUGAAAUUCACUCUUUUCUGAUAUGGUUCAUGGAACUCUUUUUUUCCAAUUAGUCUGCAUAUCUUCUGAAGUUCCUUUCUUUUCUUUUAAACCUUUUCAAAACAGUGUAUGCUUUUCUGAAGCUCACUGGUAACUUUUUAUAAUCGAUUUUCUUUUCGAAAUUGCUAGUCCUGUUCAACACAUUGAUAAAAGUGGGUUAAUUAAUCAAGUGGCCCAGUCUUUAACGAUUGCAUUCGAGCGAGCCUAAUGAGGACUUCCUGUCUAUAAACAUGUGUUGAACCAGUCUGCUUAUUGCUUUAGUUUUAAUGACCAAACCUGUACGUGCAAGACAUGCUAAACUCUAUGGCUUUAUCUGAUUUAAGGAGGCUUAUUUGAGCCCUACUUGUUUAUUUGAUUUCCCCUUCACUUGCAUUAUGUGUUUUGAUUGACGCCUUAGUAUUUUGUUCUUUGAAAAAUCUCAAAAGGCCCCAGAUCCCUUUCCGUUUAGGACUUGUAGUCCCAAGUGCCUCUGGACUGAUAGGAUCGGGACGGGUACUAGCAUGUAAUAAGUAAUUAAACUUUUCGGGCUUUAAUAACUUAACGGGGUGGGAAGGGUAGAAUAUGGAUAUGAUAACUGGUGCGAUAAUAUCACGUGCGACCCCUCUUCAGAGGGGUGAUUGCUGGAUAUUGUAUUGAUGUGAUCCAUAUUAUUUGUAAACCUAGGACCCCCUCUCCCCUUUACUUGUUAACAUUUUUAAGUUUUCUUUCAAACUAACUUUCUAUACUUUCUAUUCCUUUCUUUCUCAAACUUUUAAACUUGUUUGCAAUACUAUGUGAAAACCCUUUUCUUUAUUUGAGACUUCUACUUGCCCUCUUCGUUGCUUAAAGUCACAAUUGUAGCAUGGUCGGAAACCACACUAGUGGAUCUUGAGGGGUGUCUAACACCUUCCCCUCAAGAUAAUUUCUAGCCCUUACCCAAACUCUGGUCUUCAUCUCAAUUCUUUCUUAAUAGUGUCCUAAUGCACUAUAAUCAUUAGAUGGUGACUCUUCAAACUCCAAAACCCAAUUCUCGUAGGGGAAUGGAGUUGUCCUCCCAAAUGUCGUAUACCUGACUCCGAACUCCAUUUGGAAAAAAGGGCAUCGACAUCAGCUUCUUGAGUUCUGCGGCCAGGUUUCUGAUAAGAGAACUUUUGUCAUCAGAUUCAGGUGUGCUUGGAAUUAGUUGAGUAUAGUGUGGUAUGGUUUCUACAAAGAUGGGGGUAUUGUGGGGAUGAUCAUUUGUGUUUCUUAGUGGUUUAGGGAUAAGCAGUGGGGUAUUUUUGAAGUGUGGCAUGCGUUUCCAUGUUGAGUAUGAGCGGGUUGUUUUUGUGGUUUCUGGAUGUUCUGUGGAGGUGUAGGAUUUUGAGCAUUGGGGAAGUUGACAUCUGGGGUAGCGAGGGAAAAUGAUAAGUUUGCCAAGUUCCGAACUUGGUCCAGUUCUUCCUGAAAUUUCAACAGCUUCUGCUCAAGUUGGGCGGCACUUUCCUUGCUAACCUGAGUAACCUCUACCCGUUCACCUGAAUUUUCCUUUCUAAUGUUGUUCAAGUCCUCCAUUUUGCCCUGUUCUUAUUUCUUAUAGGACUCGGAGGAGGAGGAGGUGGAGGGCCCUUGGAUAUUGUGGAGUAUGAUGAUGAUGCUAGAGUGCACGAACUAACCUAUUGGAGAGGGGAAUAAAAAAAUAGAAAGUAAAAACAAAAGAUAACAAGUUGGUGCGGAUCAUGAGAAUAAAACAUUGCAAUAUUUAAAAACAUAGUGCAAGAAUAUAAAUCGUGCCCUAAUUUGGGAGCCUCUUUGUGCACGACGUAAGUCUAGCGACAAGUUAAUUUGGAGAACUUAUAAUGCUAAAUGCCACAUUUUAUUGAAAAAAAUAAGAGGAAUCCCAGAACGACACUAAAAACCACAGGAAAAUAGAAUAUCACUAAUGGCCAUUGGCCUUAUUAAAUUAAAAGCAAGAAGGAAAGACUCCUAACUACUUGGUCCCAGAAGGACCUUCUUCAGGUUGAAUGUUCUCGUUGAUCAAGUCCUCCAGCUCGUGCAGAUUUUGCAGCAAAAAUUCUACCGCCAAACGUUCUCCUUCGCCUUUGUCAGUAUUUUGACAGUCGGUGACUCUUUUCCUCACUUUCCCUUCCAAUUCCAACAGGCUGUAUUCCAGGUAUUCCAGAUUCUCACUAGCCUUGGUGACUCUCUAUUUUUACUCAUUGAUUUGGUUACUUAAUGGGAGGUUCCUCCACAAGGUCUGCAAGAGUGAAGGUAUAUUGACCACACCGCGGUCGGGAACUUUGUCGAUCAUUUUUGCAAAACAAAAGGAUGAGGCCACACUUCUUCCAGAAUCGUCUAUUAAAUAUAAACAAUUAGCUUGAAAAGCAUUUAGUUCUCCAAAUAAAUGCACAGAACAUGGUAGCGUCCUUUUGGGUUUCAAGGAAACCCGGUGGACUUUGGACAAGGCUAUCUUAAAGAGUCAUUAUAUGGACAACAUAACUGACUCUGCUAAGUUUGACCAUAAUUCAUGCACAAUUGAACAGAGUAAGGUUUCUAUGAGGUAUUAAACUGGUACCCUUGAGUGGACAACUCAAGAGGGAAAGGCACUGAACUCUUGACUGAAUCGCAGAUCGACUGGUUUUACUGCAAAUACGCCUUUGCCAAAUUUAGGGGGUGAUAAUAUCAGACGGCACAACCACUCAUUAUAUGCUUUUCUAUGGUAUUUUGUUUGGCACGGGUGGAAUAUGAUGUUGAGGAUACAAUUACAAGAAUUAAACAAGCUGUCAUGUAUUUGCACAUUCGUAAAGCAAUGCUUGCAAUAAUUGCUCAUAAAUACAACAAUAUUGAAGGAAGCAGAUAAAAGAAAGCAAUAAACAAAGAAAACACAUAAAGAGCCAAGUCAGUUUUGUAGCAGAAGAAGAGAUAAAGACCGUAAGUAAAGGAAAUGAAGAAGCAAUAAAGUCACAAGUAACGUGCAAUGGUAAAAGCCUAAAGAACUCCCUAGCAGAGUCUCCAUGCUAUCGCGCCCCCUUUUUCUUGCGAAAUCGGGCUUGUGAUAUUUGGGAGGAUAACUCGUUCCCUUUUGGGAAUUGGGUUUUGGAAUUUUGAAGAGUCGCCACCUAAUGAUUAAAGUGCAUUAGGAUACUAAGAAGGGUUUGAGUUGAAGAACUACAGUUUGGGUAAGCGCUAGAAAUUAUCCCGAGGGGAAUGUGUUAGGCACCGCUCAAGAUCCACUAGUGUGUUUUCCCGUGAUGUUAUAAUUGUGACUUGGCAUAACAAGCAAGCAAAAGGGUUCAAAUAGAAGGUGUUUCCACAUAAUAUUGCAAGUAAAUUGAAUUUUGAGAAAAAUAAAGAGGGCAGAAAUUUUAAGAAAAUGGUCUAAACAAUUUUGAAAAUAGAUGAAAUCAAGUAAAAAGAGGUGGAGGUCCUAGGUUUAUGAUCAAUAUGGAUCACAUCAAUUCAAUACCCAGUAAUCACUCCUCAUGUGAGGGGCUACAUGAGGUAUUAGAGCACCGAUCAUUAAGGCUAGAAAUUAUCUCGAGGGGAAGUUGUUAGGCACCCUCAAGAUCCACUAGUGUGGUCUUGUCCAUGUUUUAAUUGUGACUUUACAAAUAAGCAAUUAAGGCUCAAAUAAAGGGAGUUCUCACAUAAUUUGUAAGUAAACGGAAAAUUCGAAGAAAAUAAGGAAAGCAGAAAUUUUGAGGAAAUAAUUUUAUACAAGUCUGAAAAUAAACACAAACAAGUAAAAGGAAGGGGUCCUAGGUUUAUGAACAAUAUGGAUAACAUCAAUGCAAUACCCAGUAAUCACUCCUCAAAAGAGGGGCUAUAUGAGGUAUUUUCGCAUCGGUCAUCAUAUCCAUAUCUACCCUUCCCACCCCAUUAAGGUAUUAAAGCGCGGAAUAGUAUCAUUACUUAUUGCAUGCUAUUACCCGUCCCAAUCUUAUCAGUCCCAGAGGCAUAUUGGACUACUAAUCCGAAAGGAGAGGGAAUUGGGGCUUUUGCAGUUUUAAAAGGAUAAAAUUCUAAAGCGACAUUAAAAACAUAUACAACAAGUAUUGGGAAAGCAAGUAAGCUGAUAUGACUCAAAUAAACCUCCUUAAAUCAAAGAAAAGAAUAUAGUUUAGCAUGUCUUACACGUAACGAUUAGGUCUGAAUUAAACUUAAUUAUUAAGGCAGGCCGAUUUAUCAAAUAUUUUCAGAUAAGAAGUUCGAAUUAGGCCCUCGUGCUGGUUGUAAUUAUCAAUGACUGAUGCAGUUAUAGUUUUUACCCUAAAGCUUGCCUAGGUGUUAAACGAAACCUAUAGACAUGAUAUCUAUUAGCUUCAGAAAUAAAAAAGUAAAAUGGUUGCAAAAAACGAAUUGUCAAUUAUAGGGACAUAAGUUCUGCAGGAAUUAAACAUUAUUGCAACUGAUUUUAACUUAUAAGCGAGUUGACGAUUCAGGUUUGGCUGAUAGCUCCUAUAGGCAUGAUUUCUAGGCGUUACUGAUUUUAAUCACUAUUAUUGUCAUGCAAAAAUCCUAUAGGCAGGUCAUCUAUAUGUAGUUAGUUAUUUAAAU